UACGUAGGGGGCAAGCGUUGUCCGGAAUCAUUUGGCGUAAAGCGCGCGUAGGCGGCCCUGUAAGUCCGUUGUGAAAGUCAAAGGCUCAACCUUUGAAAGCCGAUGGAUACUGCAGGGCUAGAGUCCGGAAGAGGCGAGUGGAAUUCCUGGUGUAGCGGUGGAAUGCGCAGAUAUCAGGAGGAACACCAAUAGCGAAGGCAGCUCGCUGGGACGGUACUGACGCUAAGGCGCGAAAGCGUGGGGAGCGAACAGG
Molecule: ribosomal RNA, 253 nt
Filed under: uncultured bacterium
Lineage: Bacteria
Description: partial 16S ribosomal RNA
Rfam family: Bacterial small subunit ribosomal RNA
Source: RNAcentral